RNAcentral lists this ribosomal RNA (245 nucleotides) under uncultured Fretibacterium sp. Its description in RNAcentral is "partial 16S ribosomal RNA". It matches the Rfam family "Bacterial small subunit ribosomal RNA", at positions 524 to 769 of the family's 1533-position model. The record is from RNAcentral. Lineage: Bacteria; Thermotogati; Synergistota; Synergistia; Synergistales; Aminobacteriaceae.
UACGUAGGGGGCGAGCGUUGUUCGGAAUUACUGGGCGUAAAGGGCACGUAGGCGGUGCCUCAAGUCAUUUGUUAAAAGGUGUGGCUUAACCAUGCUGUGCAAGUGAGACUGAGGGGCUGGAGUGCCGGAGAGGCAAGCGGAAUUCCCAGUGUAGCGGUGAAAUGCGUAGAUAUUGGGAAGAACAUCGGUGGCGAAGGCGGCUUGCUGGCCGGUAACUGACGCUGAGGUGCGAAAGCCAGGGUAGC